RNAcentral lists this ribosomal RNA (949 nucleotides) under Mallocybe fuscomarginata. Its description in RNAcentral is "16S ribosomal RNA". The stretch from base 515 to 949 matches the Rfam family "Bacterial small subunit ribosomal RNA", at positions 1 to 919 of the family's 1533-position model. Lineage: Eukaryota; Fungi; Basidiomycota; Agaricomycetes; Agaricales; Inocybaceae. The record is from RNAcentral.
UAUCGUACUUGAAAUCACAAAAUCACAGAUAGGUGCUUAUUGUGAUAACGUAAGGGAAAAAUUUGAUAUUACCUUACUAUAAGUGUUGUCUAAAUAACUGGUGCCAGAAGACUCGGUAACACCAGAAACGCGAACGUUAGUCGUCUUAAACAGGCGUAAAGGGUAAGUAGGCUGCUUUAAAAAUUUUUUUAUAUAAAAGCUAAUUAAUAAUUUAUGCUUAGUAAUAUCUUGCUUACUGGUUAUAGUAAUAUCGUAGAUAUAACAUCUUCGAUAUUGUUAUCCCGGAGGGAUUACAACUAAUAACAAGAAUCAAGCUACUAAAAAUUUUCAGAUUAAUUUAUUAAAAUUAACACUCUUAAGUUUGAAUUGCUAGCUACUUGCUAAGCUAAGCUAAGAAAUUUUAUUGUAGUAGCUAGUAAUAUCUAGUAAUAAUAUUAGUAUUAACAAAUAUAAUAACAAGAUAUAACAAGCAAAUCGAAGUUAACAAUAAGUGAAUAAUCAUUUCAAUGAUAAUUAAACUUACUGCUUGUUAUAUCGAAGAUAUUACCAGCUGCUAUAACUAAAAACUUAAAUUAUUAAAUUAAAUAAAGAUAGAUAUACUUAAAGCUAGAAUCAUAAUUGAGAUAAACCAAAUAAUACUUAAGUGUAAGGGUAAAAUCUAAAAAUACUAAGUAGAAUACUAACGGUGAAAACUUUUUAUCUAGGAGUGAUUGACGCUGAGGUACGAAAGUGAGAACAGGGAAUAGGAUUAGAUACCCAGUUACCUCUCACCGUCAACGAUGAAUGGAAGUUGUUAGUAGUUAGUCUCGUUAGUCUUGCUAGUAAUAUCUUCGAUAUAACAAGUAAGACUAACUAAACUUCAAUUAAAACUAGUGACGAUGUUAACGCGAUAACCAUUCCGCCUUGAGAGUACGGUUGCAAAACUGAAACCAAAAAAAUUAGUCGGUCU